AUUAGUGGCGGACGGGUGAGUAACGCGUGGAUAACCUGCCGUAUACAGGGGGAUAACACUUAGAAAUAGGUGCUAAUACCGCAUAAGCGCACGGUUCCGCAUGAACAGUGUGAAAAACUCCGGUGGUAUACGAUGGAUCCGCGUCUGAUUAGCCAGUUGGCGGGGUAACGGCCCACCAAAGCGACGAUCAGUAGCCGGCCUGAGAGGGUGAACGGCCACAUUGGGACUGAGACACGGCCCAAACUCCUACGGAAGGCAGCAG
This 262-nucleotide ribosomal RNA is filed under the name uncultured bacterium. RNAcentral describes it as "partial 16S ribosomal RNA". It matches the Rfam family "Bacterial small subunit ribosomal RNA", at positions 91 to 354 of the family's 1533-position model. The record is from RNAcentral.